ACCCACUCAGGUCCCAUUUCUAAGGAGUAGAGGGCCAGAUGCUGUGAAAGUAAUGAGGCACAGAUUGGUAUGUUGUCCUGAAUCUUGAGGAGUUGAGUUGCAAAGCCCUCCACUUCUGAUGGAUAUGCUAUAUAUCCAACUCGCCAUCCCAUCAUCCCAUAGGCUUUUGAGAAGGAAAAGAUGUUGACAACAUGAUCGCCUUCUAUGCAGGAAUGUUUUAGACCAUC
This 227-nucleotide unclassified non-coding RNA is filed under the name Hevea brasiliensis (rubber tree). Lineage: Eukaryota; Viridiplantae; Streptophyta; Magnoliopsida; Malpighiales; Euphorbiaceae. The record is from RNAcentral.